UACAGAGGGCGCGAGCGUUGUCCGGAAUCACUGGGCGUAAAGGGCGCGUAGGUGGCCACUAUAAGGCCGCGGUGAAAGUUCGGGGCUCAACCCUGAAUCUGCCGCGGCGACUGUAGGGCUAGGGCACCGUAGAGGCAGAUGGAAUUCCGGGUGUAGCGGUGGAAUGCGUAGAGAUCCGGAAGAACACCGGUGGCGAAGGCGGCCUGCUGGGCAGUGGCUGACGCUGAGGCGCGACAGCGUGGGAGCAAACAGG
Molecule: ribosomal RNA, 253 nt
Filed under: uncultured bacterium
Lineage: Bacteria
Description: partial 16S ribosomal RNA
Rfam family: Bacterial small subunit ribosomal RNA
Source: RNAcentral